AGGAGGACUGCCUUUUGGAUUGUCAGCCACUUGGACGUGGUGAUGCAGGUCUACCUGGAGGGUCAGGCCUGGAUGGUUGGGAUUUAAGAUUUUGACAAAGAAAACUCAGUCAGAUUUAAAGCUUCACGAUUGCUCCAAAGGAAGAGAGCGUUAAGUUUUCAGAAGGAG
Molecule: long non-coding RNA, 168 nt
Organism: Egretta garzetta (little egret)
Lineage: Eukaryota; Metazoa; Chordata; Aves; Pelecaniformes; Ardeidae
Exons: 3
Source: RefSeq, a predicted model, not a curated record